AUUGAACGCUGGCGGCAUGCUUUACACAUGCAAGUCGAACGGUAACAGGCCGCAAGGUGCUGACGAGUGGCGAACGGGUGAGUAAUGCAUCGGAACGUGCCCAGUCGCGGGGGAUAACGCAGCGAAAGCUGUGCUAAUACCGAAUACGAUCUAUGGAUGAAAGCGGGGGACCUUAAGGCCUCGCGCGAUUGGAGCGGCCGAUGUCAGAUUAGGUAGUUGGUGGGGUAAAGGCUCACCAAGCAAACGAUCUGUAGCUGGUCUGAGAGGACGACCGGCCACACUGGGACUGAGACACGGCCCAGACUCCUACGGGAGGCAGCAGUGGGGAAUUUUGGACAAUGGGCGCAAGCCUGAUCCAGCAAUGCCGCGUGCAGGAAGAAGGCCUUCGGGUUGUAAACUGCUUUUGUACGGAACGAAACGGCGAGCUCUAAUACAGUUUGCUAAUGACGGUACCGUAAGAAUAAGCACCGGCUAACUACGUGCCAGCCGCCGCGGUAA
This 498-nucleotide ribosomal RNA is filed under the name uncultured bacterium. Its description in RNAcentral is "partial 16S ribosomal RNA". It matches the Rfam family "Bacterial small subunit ribosomal RNA", at positions 30 to 523 of the family's 1533-position model. The record is from RNAcentral.